AACGGGUGAGUAAUAUAUCGGAACGUGCCCAGUAGUGGGGGAUAGCCCGGCGAAAGCCGGAUUAAUACCGCAUGAGACCUGAGGGUGAAAGCGGGGGACUCGCAAGGGCCUCGCGCUACUGUAGCGGCCGAUAUCAGAUUAGCUAGUUGGUGGGGUAAAGGCCUACCAAGGCAACGAUCUGUAGUUGGUCUGAGAGGACGACCAGCCACACUGGGACUGAGACACGGCCCAGACUCC
RNAcentral lists this ribosomal RNA (237 nucleotides) under uncultured bacterium. RNAcentral describes it as "partial 16S ribosomal RNA". It matches the Rfam family "Bacterial small subunit ribosomal RNA", at positions 101 to 339 of the family's 1533-position model. The record is from RNAcentral.